UCAUUACCACACCAAAAAACACCCCACGUGAAUGUAUUCUGUAUGAGGCUUGUGCUGCUUACCAGCGGCUAGCCGAAGGUUUCGCAAGAAGCCGAUGUCUAUUUGAAUCCUUUUUUAAAUAAUUACUGAUCAAAACUGCAGACAGAAAUGUUUGCAUUAAAUUGAAAUACAACUUUCAACAGUGGAUGUCUAGGCUCGCACACCGAUGAAGAACGCUGCGAACUGCGAUACGUAAUGCGAAUUGCAGAAUUCAGUGAGUCAUCAAAAUUUUGAACGCAUAUUGCACUUCCGGGUUAGUCCUGGGAGUAUGUUUGUAUCAGUGUCCGUAAAAACCAAAUUGUUUUAUUUCUUUAUUGAAAUGAAGCAGAAUGUGAAGUGUCUUGCUUCGGCAAGUCCUUUUAAACGACGGUACCUGUGCGUCCUUGUGAGAUGUAUUAUUUAAAGGUAUGCAUGAGCUUAUUUCGAGAGUUUUGUGUGAUGGCACACAGCAUUCAAAGAAAGAGCAAAUCGCGGUAGUUUUGCUUGUGCUUCGGUACGAGUGGACACAUAUUGCUUUUUGUAAUUUUGGCGAGGUCUGUUGUUAGAAGGCAAGAUGCGAAAUAAAAUUAUGUAUGCUGGUGCAUUUCUUGGCGUACGGAGGCAAAUUGGGAAUUAAAUCCAAUUUGGACCUGAUAUCAAACAAGACUACCCGCUGAAC
This 697-nucleotide ribosomal RNA is filed under the name Saprolegnia sp. UNCW260. RNAcentral's name for it is "eukaryotic LSU rRNA". The stretch from base 171 to 325 matches the Rfam family "5.8S ribosomal RNA". Lineage: Eukaryota; Oomycota; Saprolegniomycetes; Saprolegniales; Saprolegniaceae. The record is from RNAcentral.